Molecule: ribosomal RNA, 253 nt
Filed under: uncultured bacterium
Lineage: Bacteria
Description: partial 16S ribosomal RNA
Rfam family: Bacterial small subunit ribosomal RNA
Source: RNAcentral
GACGAGGGGUCCAAGCGUUGUUCGGAAUUAUUGGGCGUAAAGCGGGUGUAGGCGGCUCUAUAAGUCAGAAGUGAAAGCCCUGGGCUUAACCCGGGAAGUGCUUUUGAUACUGCAGAGCUUGAAUGUGGGAGAGGGUAGUGGAAUUCCAGGUGUAGUGGUGAAAUACGUAGAUAUCUGGAGGAACACCGGUGGCGAAGGCGGCAUCCUGGACCGGCAUUGACGCUGAGGAGCGAAAGCCAGGGGAGCAAACGGG